UACGGGGGGGGCAAGCGUUGUUCGGAAUUACUGGGCGUAAAGGGCUCGUAGGCGGCCAACUAAGUCAGACGUGAAAUCCCCAGGCUUAACCUGGGAACUGCGUCGGAUACUGGAUGGCUUGAAUCCGGGAGAGGAUGGUGGAAUUCCCAGUGUAGAGGUGAAAUUCGUAGAUAUUGGGAAGAACACCGAUGGCGAAGGCAGCCAUCUGGACCGACACUGACGCUGAGGCGCGAAAGCGUGGGGAGCAAACAGG
Molecule: ribosomal RNA, 253 nt
Filed under: uncultured bacterium
Lineage: Bacteria
Description: partial 16S ribosomal RNA
Rfam family: Bacterial small subunit ribosomal RNA
Source: RNAcentral